RNAcentral lists this ribosomal RNA (2264 nucleotides) under human gut metagenome. Its description in RNAcentral is "bacterial LSU rRNA". It matches the Rfam family "Bacterial large subunit ribosomal RNA", at positions 14 to 2318 of the family's 2925-position model. The record is from RNAcentral.
AGAGCGUAGGGUGAAUAGCUAGGCACCAAGAGCCGAAGAAGGACGUGAUAAGCUGCGAAAAGCUUUGGGUAGGAGCAAAUAUCCAUUAAUCCAGAGAUAUCCGAAUGAGGGAACUCACUUAGAGCAAACAAUCUAAGUAUCCAUAUAUGAGUAAAGUAGUAUAUGAGAAGGGAACGUGGGGAACUGAAACAUCUUAGUACCCACAGGAAAAGAAAGAGAAAUCGAUUCCUAGAGUAGUGGCGAGCGAAAUAGGAAGAGCCUAAACCAUGAGUAGUAAUACACAUGGGGUUCGGACCACGAUAUAUUAUCAAUAAUUCUAAUAGAAAUGUUUUGGAAAAGCAUACCAUAGACGGUGAAAGUCCAGUAUAUGAAAGAAAAGUUGAGAUUAGUGGUAUCCAGAGUAGUACGAGACACGAGAAAUCUCGUAUGAAUAAGCGGGGACCAUCCCGUAAGGCUAAAUACUACUUGGUGACCGAUAGUGAACUAGUACCGUGAGGGAAAGGUGAAAAGAACCCCGGGAGGGGAGUGAAAUAGAACAUGAAACCCUAUGUUUACAAGCAGACAAAGCACUUUAUAUGUGCGAUGUCGUACUUUUUGUAGAACGGUCCAGCGAGUUAUUGUGUAUGGCGAGGUUAAGUAUUACGUAAGGUACGGAGCCGAAGCGAAAGCGAGUCUGAAAAGGGCGAUAUAAGUCAUGCAUAAUAGACCCGAAACUGAGUGACCUAUCCAUGAGCAGGAUGAAGCUAGAGUAAAAUCUAGUGGAGGUCCGAACUGAUUGUCGUUAAAAAGGCACCGGAUGACUUGUGGAUAGCGGAGAAAUUCCAAUCGAACUCAGAGAUAGCUGGUUCUCCUCGAAAUAGCUUUAGGGCUAGCCUUGAGGGAAUGCAUAUGGGGGUAGAGCACUGAAUGAGGUAGGGGCCUAACCAGGUUACCAAACUCUAUCAAACUCCGAAUACCAUAUGUAAAUACUCAGGAGUCAGACUGCGGGAGCUAAGUUCCGUGGUCAAAAGGAAAACAGUCCAGAUCGUCAAUUAAGGUCCCAAAGAUAUAGCUAAGUGGAAAACGAUGUGAUUUUGCAUAAACAACCAGGAUGUUGGCUCAGAAGCAGCCAUUCAUUCAAAGAGUGCGUAAUAGCUCACUGGUCGAGUGAAGUUGCGCGGAAAAUUACCGGGGCUAAGCUAUACACCGAAAUUGCGGAUUUACAUUUGAAAGACAAUGUAAGUGGUAGAGGAGCAUUCUGUAGUAGGAAGAAGCAUGACCGUAAGGACAUGUGGACGAAGCAGAAGAGAGAAUGCUGGAAUAAGUAGCGAGAGGAUGGUGAGAAUCCAUCCCGUCGAAAAUCUAAGGUUUCCCAGGGAAGGUUCGUCCGCCUGGGGUAAGUCGGGACCUAAGGAGAGGCCGAAAGGCGUAUCUGAUGGAUAGCAGGUUGAAAUUCCUGCACUACGAAUAUACUUAAAAGAUUCAAGGGACGCAGAAGUGGAAGAUAACCAAGUAAGAGGAAAAGCUUGGCUCGCAAGAGGGAGUGAAAAUUAAAAGUAACGAAGUAUCAAGAAGCACGCUGACGAGAAAAGCUUGAAGAUAUUGUAUAUAAGUACCCGUACCGCAAACCGACACAGGUAGAUGAGGAGAGGAUCCUAAGACGAGCGGGAGAAGCAUUGUUAAGGAACUCGGCAAAUUAACCCCGUAACUUCGGAAUAAGGGGUGCUGAUGUAACAGUCAGUCGCAGAGAAAAGGCCCAAGCAACUGUUUAACAAAAACAUAGGUUUCUGCUAAAUCGAAAGAUGAAGUAUAGGAGCUGACGCCUGCCCAGUGCUGGAAGGUUAAGGGAAAGAGUUAGGGUUAAACCGAAGCUUAGAACUGAAGCCCCAGUGAACGGCGGCCGUAACUAUAACGGUCCUAAGGUAGCGAAAUUCCUUGUCAGGUAAGUUCUGACCCGCACGAAAGGCGUAAUGAUUUGGGCGCUGUCUCGACAAUGUCCCCGGCGAAAUUGUAGUACUAGUGAAGAUGCUAGUUACCUGCGAUAAGACAGAAAGACCCCAUGGAGCUUUACUGCAGUUUGAUACUGGGUUUCGAUGAUUUAUGUACAGGAUAGUUGGGAGACUAUGAAAGAGAGGCGUCAGCUUCUCCGGAGUCAUUGUUGGGAUACCAACCUUAAGUUAUUGAAAUUCUAACUUGUAAUCGUAAACCGGUUAGAGGACAAUGUCAGACGGGCAGUUUGACUGGGGCGGUCGCCUCCUAAAGAGUAACGGAGGCGCCCAAAGGUU